This 402-nucleotide long non-coding RNA is filed under the name Elaeis guineensis (African oil palm). RNAcentral describes it as "long non-coding RNA (EGUI_LNC023767)". Lineage: Eukaryota; Viridiplantae; Streptophyta; Magnoliopsida; Arecales; Arecaceae. The record is from RNAcentral.
GGCCAUCAUUAUUCUCAAUAACAAUACCAUCAUCCACUGUUGAAAUCAAAAUCUGGUGGCCCUGUCCGCCCUUAGCUCCCCUUCAUUCAUGGCUUUAGCACCAACACUAAGUGGUAGUGGGUCAACUCCCUCCACCUCCUCUGAUUUGAUUCUGAUUUUCAAAUUUCCAACCUUUAUUUUUUGGUGAAUUGAAAGCCUCCGAUUCAAGUUGAUCGGAGGCAUACCAAACACGAUGCCUAAAGAUAGCUAUGGAGGUCAUAGGUUUGUGACGGUUCAGGAUCAUCAAAAAUAACUAGAGGGUUCAUAAUAUAUUAGAUGUUGGUAAUGUUACCAAAAAUGAUGGAAUGAAUGGUGCUCAUCUCCAACAGAAUUUGUCUUGAAGGAGUAGGGUCUCAUUGUCGG